UCGUAUUUGACAAAGAAUUUGAAAUGUGAAAGAAACAACAUGGAUGAAACAAAGAAAGAAUGGUCUAUAUUGUAUUUCUGAUUACAACAAUUAUAUAACAUCAUAAUGGAAGACUAAGAACUCAAAGUAGAGAAUUCUGCAGACGAAGAGCUUGUUAAUGAAGGCGAUCCUUCACCACUCUGUGGGAAAUCAGAGAUGGAAGCAAUCAUACGGCUGAUGCUAAGUGACCGCGCUGGUUUGAAGCUAAGUGAUUUUAUCAACUUGUUAUCAGAGAAGACAUUAGACGAAUUUGAAAGGAUGAAAUAAACCAGAGCCUGAACAACCACAAACAUGACCACCUUGAUGACAAAUGUUUCUGCUUCCAUCACUACUCAAAGAUUUCUUGAUGCCAAUACUUGGAAAGGAACUCGCGUGAAGUUGGGUAUGGAGAAAAUAAGAUGUGUAUGAACUCUGAAAAAUACUGGAUGUGUUUAGGAUUAUAUAUAGAAUGGUGCUGUUCUAAAGAAGUUGGCUGUGACUUGUUUCUGGAAAGAAGGAGGAAGCUGUUUUAGUUUGGCCUUAAACGUGAGUUUUUGUUAGGAAAGUGGCUUCAUCUUAUCCAACAUUAGUUGUUAUGACCUAUGACUCAUCAGUCAUUGCUAAAUUGUAUAAACAGGAAAAGUAAAGAAACUUGAGGGUGGCUUCUGUUAUUAAUAAUUUAAAUGAUUUCUUCUCCUUUCUGCUAGCUGUUUUCUAGAAGACAAAAUUAUAUAAUGUUAAGCCUCAAUCACCAGACUACUUGCAUUAUAUUCUCAAGUUGCUUGGUUUGGACAGGGGCUUCAUCUGAAGACUAUAAAAUUAACAGCUUCUUGAAACUUCUGAUUUUUUCCAAAUUAUUUCAGUAUCUUACAAAUUGACCAAGUUAUCCCAGGCACCCGGGGAAAAGACAGUCUCUGUACUUUUUAUGGUAUCUCUUUGCUUCUUGGAAAACAAUUAAGGCCUGUGUAUAUCUCUGAAUUUCAUUCAUCAACUAAUCGAAAAUUAAAACAGGCAUAUCACUGACAAUAGACCCUAUCCACUCAGAGCAACUUAAAAUCCUCGACAUCUAUUAAAGUAUGAAUUGAUUCGUUUGCUACUCGAAUAGGACUAUAUCCUGUAUUCAUGAUUGGUCACAUGUUAUAUACUCUUCAAAUUGAAAAAAUACAGUCUUCAUGAAUUUCCCAGUUCUCUGAUAAACAAUUCUCUUAUUUUUAUACAUAGGCAUACUUUAGCUCUGUCACUCCAGUCUGGUGAAUGCCUUCAUCAGCUUAGUACCUGGGAACAAGCUUAAUUGAAGACUUGUUCUGCUAUCGAUCAAGAGCUUGAGCAUCAUCCUGGAAUUAAUUAUUUUUACAGUGGUACUACUGCUCUGUCCAUCUGAGACAGGUGAGGCAAUAUGCUACAACAUUUAUAAAUUGAUUGAAUUUUUUCAUUUCUGCUCUUAGGCUCUAUUUAUCAAGAGCUGUCAGCAACUACUUCAUCAAGGAUUUCGGUUUUAUUUCUGAGGCUGAAGUGACACAUCAAGCAUUACCAGGGAUGAUCAAAUUUGAUAAAUUGGCUACAGAUGGUGUCUGUGUUAUAGUAGCUUAUGAUUGAACUACUACUCUAUAUAGUGACAUAAUUAUUAGCUAAUUCUACCGCUUUUAUGAUUGAGAAUUCUAAUACCGAGUCAGAAAAUCCGGGCAGUUAUAUUGUUCAGGGCUAUUUAAUAUUGUCAGACGUAUCUCAGCUCCUUAGCUUUCACAUCCCUUUGAGGCAAUAACUUUUCAUUGUUCAACUUGUGAUGCAUCAGGUGAAUAUAUAGGAGCAGUAUUUCUCUCGUUUCGUAUUUGACAAAGAAUUUGAAAUGUGAAAGAAAAACAUGAAUGAAUCAAAGAAACAAUAGUCUUAAUUGUAUUUCUGAUUAUAACAAUUAUAUUACACCAUAAUGGAAGACUAAGAAUCAAAGAAUACCCCAUGAGUCCAUGACACUGAGUUGCUACAUUUGAGAACCACAGGCAUCAAAAGCACUGCACAGCUACUAGUAUUGCUGUAUACAUUUUUAGUUACAACUCAAAUUAGAGAAUUCUACAGAUGAAGAACUUGUUAAUAAAGGGGAUCCUUCACCACUCUGUGGGAAAUCAGAGAUGGAAGCAAGCAUACGGCUGAUGCUAAGUGACCGCGCUGGUUUGAAACUAAGUGAUUUUAUCAACUUGUUAUCAGAGAAGACAUUAGACGAAUUCGAAAGGAUUAAAUAAACCAGAGCCUGAACAACCACAAACAUGACCACCUUGAUGACAAAUGUUUCUACUUCCAUUACUCUUCAGCACUUUCAGCCCCAAAGUUUACUACUACUCAAAGAUUUCUUGAUGCCGAGACUUGGAAAGGAACUCGUGUAAAGUUGGAUACGGAGAAAAUAAUAUCUGAAUGAACUAUGAAGAAUACUGGAUGUGUUUAGGAUUAUAUAUAGAAUGGUGCUGUUCUAAAGAAGUUGGCUGUGACUUGUUACUGGAAAGAAGGAGGAAGCUGUUUUAGUUUGGCCUUAAACGUGAGUUUUUGUUAGGAAAGUGGCUUCAUCUUAUCCAACUUUAGUUGUUAUGACUCAUCAGUCAUUGCUAAAUUGUAUAAGACAGAAAACAAAAGAAACUUGAGGGUGGCUUCUGUUAUCAAUAUUUUAAAUGAUUUCUUCUCCUUUCUGUUGGCUGUUUUCUAGAAGACAUACUACACUGUUCAAGCUCAAUCACCAAACCACUAGCAUACUUUUCUUAAGUUUCUUGAUGUGGACAGGGG
Molecule: long non-coding RNA, 2787 nt
Filed under: Daucus carota (carrot)
Lineage: Eukaryota; Viridiplantae; Streptophyta; Magnoliopsida; Apiales; Apiaceae
Description: long non-coding RNA (DCAR_LNC005843)
Source: RNAcentral